GUGGGGAAUAUUGGACAAUGGGCGCAAGCCUGAUCCAGCCAUGCCGCGUGAGUGAUGAAGGCCCUAGGGUUGUAAAGCUCUUUCAGUGGGGACGAUAAUGACGGUACCCACAGAAGAAGCCCCGGCUAACUUCGUGCCAGCAGCCGCGGUAAUACGAAGGGGGCUAGCGUUGUUCGGAUUUACUGGGCGUAAAGCGCACGUAGGCGGAUCGUUACGUCGAGGGUGAAAUCCUGGAGCUCAACUCCAGAACUGCCUUCGAUACUGGCGAUCUUGAGUCCGGAAGAGGUGAGUGGAACUCCUAGUGUGGAGGUGGAAUUCGUAGAUAUUAGGAAGAACACCAGUGGCGAAGGCGGCUCACUGGUCCGGUACUGACGCUGAGGUGCGAAAGCGUGGGGAGCAAACAGGAUUAGAAACCCGUGUAGUCC
This 425-nucleotide ribosomal RNA is filed under the name uncultured bacterium. Its description in RNAcentral is "partial 16S ribosomal RNA". It matches the Rfam family "Bacterial small subunit ribosomal RNA", at positions 354 to 796 of the family's 1533-position model. The record is from RNAcentral.